This 253-nucleotide ribosomal RNA is filed under the name uncultured bacterium. Its description in RNAcentral is "partial 16S ribosomal RNA". It matches the Rfam family "Bacterial small subunit ribosomal RNA", at positions 524 to 776 of the family's 1533-position model. The record is from RNAcentral.
GACGGAGGGUGCAAGCGUUGUUCGGAAUUACUGGGCGUAAAGGGCGCGUAGGCGGUCUGUUAAGUUCGGUGUGAAAGCCCCCGGCUCACCUGGGGAACUGCGCCGGAAACCGACAGACUCGAGUACCGGAGAGGAGGGUGGAAUUCCUGGUGUAGCGGUGAAAUGCGUAGAUAUGACAUAGAACACCAAUUGCGAAGGCAGCUGGCUACGCGAAUAUUGACACUGAUGCACGAAAGCGUGGGGAUCAAACAGG